UACGGAGAGUUUGAUUCUGGCUCAGAACGAACGCUGGCGGCGUGGAUAAGACAUGCAAGUCGAACGAGGACUACGAAUAGCUUGCUAAUUGUAGCUCCUAGUGGCGGACGGGUGCGUAUCACGUGAGCAACCUACCCUGAAGUGGGGGAUAGCCCGGGGAAACUCGGAUUAAUACCGCAUGUGAUCUUCGGAUCAAAGACGGCUUCGGCUGUCGCUUCAGGAUGGGCUCGCGGCCUAUCAGCUUGUUGGUGAGGUAACGGCUCACCAAGGCAACGACGGGUAGCUGGUCUGAGAGGACGAUCAGCCACACUGGAACUGAGACACGGUCCAGACACCUACGGGUGGCAGCAGUCGAGAAUCAUUCACAAUGGGGGAAACCCUGAUGGUGCAACGCCGCGU
This 399-nucleotide ribosomal RNA is filed under the name Akkermansiaceae bacterium. Its description in RNAcentral is "bacterial SSU rRNA". It matches the Rfam family "Bacterial small subunit ribosomal RNA", at positions 1 to 402 of the family's 1533-position model. Lineage: Bacteria; Pseudomonadati; Verrucomicrobiota; Verrucomicrobiia; Verrucomicrobiales; Akkermansiaceae. The record is from RNAcentral.